UAUCCGUAGGUGAACCUGCGGAAGGAUCAUUAUCAAGAUAUUUAUUUAGCGUUUAGUGCUAUCCCAUUGUGUGAUUUACACUGUUGCUUACACUGGAUGUGUUCCCAUGCGUUGUGUUUGAGACACUUUGGCUUGUGAACGCUUCAUUCACGGCCUGCUAGUGAGAUGACUCUUUACAAAACAACGUUAAUAACCAAUUGUCUGAAUAUUUUAAUCCAAUGCACUAAAACUUUCAAAAACGGAUCUCUAGGCUCUUGAAUCGAUGAAAAACCAAGCAGA
This 279-nucleotide unclassified non-coding RNA is filed under the name plant metagenome. Its description in RNAcentral is "partial contains small subunit ribosomal RNA, internal transcribed spacer 1, and 5.8S ribosomal RNA". The record is from RNAcentral.